GAGUUUGAUCCUGGCUCAGAUUGAACGCUGGCGGCAUGCCUUACACAUGCAAGUCGAACGGCAGCACGGGAGCUUGCUCCUGGUGGCGAGUGGCGAGCGGGUGAGUAAUGCAUCGGAACGUAUCCUGGAGUGGGGGAUAACGUAGCGAAAGUUACGCUAAUACCGCAUAUUCUGUGAGCAGGAAAGCGGGGGACCUUCGGGCCUCGCGCUCUUGGAGCGGCCGAUGUCGGAUUAGCUAGUUGGUGAGGUAAAGGCUCACCAAGGCGACGAUCCGUAGCAGGUCUGAGAGGAUGAUCUGCCACACUGGAACUGAGACACGGUCCAGACUCCUACGGGAGGCAGCAGUGGGGAAUUUUGGACAAUGGGGGGCAACCCUGAUCCAGCCAUGCCGCGUGAGUGAAGAAGGCCUC
This 410-nucleotide ribosomal RNA is filed under the name bacterium enrichment culture clone ALO1_GLFRUDD03G4Z19. RNAcentral describes it as "bacterial SSU rRNA". It matches the Rfam family "Bacterial small subunit ribosomal RNA", at positions 9 to 418 of the family's 1533-position model. The record is from RNAcentral.